AAGAAGUUACUGUCGGGGUUAUUUUUUUCCCCUUCUCUCUCUCCUCCCGCGCGUUCUCUCUUCUCCUCUGCGCGUUCUCUCUCUCUCCUCUGCAACUCCGGUUGCUUUCUCUUUCCGGCCACCAAAAAGCGUGAAACCGGUGGCUACGGACUCGUCUCGACUUCCUCUUGGCGCCUGCGGUGGUGGCUCACGGCGGCUUGGCCGGAAAACGAAGCAUCGGGUCCUUGAAGUUUCACUGUAGCAAAUUGGUCAACGCCGGUUUCUCCUGAUUCCGGCCACCUCCGGCGACGAACCAUAAUCAUUUGGAAGCGGCUUGCGAUGUAGAUGAUGCUCCCCAAAUAUUUUGCAGCGAUUUGAAGCAUGGAGGAAGAAUUGAAGGGCAAUAUUGCGAGCUACGGCUAGAUGAAGGAACUCGUUUUCGUGGUCGCCAACCAGUAUUUUUGCAGGCUAGAUUAGUUGAGGUCGGGCGUACAUGGAGUCGAGGCAUAGUCAACAGCAUUGCUUCCGCGUACUCAUUCUAUUUCUAUUUUCUUUGUUACCUAGUGGAUUAGUAUUGCUCUGAUAACCUGUGGGAUUAAUAUUAUUUUAUUUUAUUUUUGGGUUGAGACUGGUAUUUGUGACAUUGGAGUUGUGAUUUGGGGAGCAGGUGGCUCCAGGA
Molecule: long non-coding RNA, 658 nt
Organism: Rosa rugosa (rugosa rose)
Lineage: Eukaryota; Viridiplantae; Streptophyta; Magnoliopsida; Rosales; Rosaceae
Exons: 3
Source: RefSeq, a predicted model, not a curated record